UGGUUCCGGCAUCGAUGAAGAACGCAGCGAAAUGCGAUAAGUAAUGCGAAUUGCAGAAUUCAGUGAGUCAUCGAAUCUUUGAACGCACAUUGCGCCCCUUGGUAUUCCGAGGGGCAUGCCUGUCCGAGCGUCAUUGCACCUCUCAAGCAUCGCUUGGUGUUGGGACCCACCCCCGGCGGUGGCCCCGAAAAGCAGUGGCGGUCCGGUGAGACUUCAAGCGUACUGGAAUAACUCUUUAGUUUUCGCUCUGAACGCUCGAGCCGUGGCCCCGCCAGUUCAACCCGUACAUUUUUUCAGGUUGACCUCGGAUCAGGUAGGGAUACCCGCUGA
Molecule: unclassified non-coding RNA, 330 nt
Filed under: uncultured fungus
Lineage: Eukaryota; Fungi
Description: partial contains 5.8S ribosomal RNA and internal transcribed spacer 2
Rfam family: 5.8S ribosomal RNA (bases 1-133)
Source: RNAcentral